CAUUACCAAGUUGUGCAGUUCAUUUAAAAAACGAGUCUUGGUUACCAUCAUUUAUCUUUAAGAAAAGAAAAAUAUCACAAAGCCACUUGCGGAGGAAAGUGGCAGAAAACUUGCAUGAAUAAACAAAAGAAAACUCUGUUUCAACCACAUAUUUGCUUUCCGUAGCUCCGGCGGCUCUCCGCCGUCGGAGAGCUUCUCUCUUCCUCUCUGUUUUCGACUUUGCUUCCCUGCCAGCUUUUCCCCCUCCCCCGAUAUGUCGGUGGCCCUGUAGCAGAGUAGAUUUGGACUCAAUCUCUUCGUAGACUGUUCGGAUCUCUCGGAGGUGCUAUGGAGUCAUGAUGAGGGGUGCUGAUGUGGUGGGAGUUGUGGGGAAGUCGGCGUUUUGGGUUCAGUCAAGGGUCGGAUUGAGUUUUUCCCCUUUCUCGAUCUGGUUCCUUUGCCGUCGGUGAGAGCGUGUGACCUGGAUUUUAGGACUCCUUCGUCCAGAUCUGGUGUUCUCGGUGUCCGGGUUUCAGAUCUGCGGUGGAGUGGGUCGGCUCGUGGCGGUUUCUAUCCCGCUCGGUGUCGAGUGGUGGGUUCCCCUCUCGUCUUCCGGUCAAGUUGGGCUUCGGGGCAGUAGGUCUCUGGAGGUGCGCACGUCGUGGUGAUCGCUACUGUGUGGUCGCGGUAGCUAUGGAGUUUGUUUCGUGCGGCUGCUCGUGUUCUGUCUCUCUGGCUGGCCGUCUAUGACCAACAAAGGGCUUUUCCGGCGGUCGCUCCAGCCUUGUCCUCUCGGGUUUGCCGCUUUUGAUGCUGAUGUGCUCGUCUUCGUAUGGGUGCUCUCUGCUCCUCUACGUCUCUUCAGUUAUCUCGACGGUUCUCCUCCGUUGCUGUUUCGCUGACGAGGCAAUAUGGAGCUAUCAUCGGUUCUCGAUGCUAGCGCGAGACGGGGUUCUUGGAUCUUCGGAUUCCAGUUUCCUCGUAGGAGCCUCGUGUUUCGAUUGGUCAUCCCAGCCACAUUGUCGGACCAUUUGGUAAGUAGUGGGGGGUCAAUCGUUGGUUCAUUUUGUAGGUUUGGUUGGACAGCACUGAGAUGUGGCUCUCACCGGACCCGUCUUUUGCUAUGGUUCGCGUUUAUUUCUGAAGUCAAACCAAAUAAGUGUGGUUCUCUCUGCUCAUCGGACUAAGCCAGAUGGUGCUCCUAGGGCUCUCUGGAGUGUGUAGUUGCUGGAAGCUCAUGGUGUUUGGGUUCUCUAGCUGCCGGUGGUGGUUCGCGAUACUCGAGCUUCGUUGACUAAGCUCGACAAAGCUGCGCGGAACGAUACCAAUCAGUUGGAGUAGCGCUGCGGGCAAGCCAAUAUCUACCAAGGCGUGGUCUUAUGGUAUAUCAAAGGUAUUCUUCCCAUGCAGCAAUGUCAACUCUCGGUCAAGCUUCUUCUCUAUUACCUUUAGUUAGCUCGGUUUUAAUUUGGUGGAAAAGAAUAAUCACGAAACGGCGGAGGAAGAGGGAAAUACGGCGGACGAGGAGAAGGGUCAUGCGCCGGAGGAGUUUUUGGGAGAGAAAUCUGAGGAUGCUGGACUCUAGCAAACUGGAGGGUGAAGACGAUCAAAAUUCGGUGAAGAGAGAAUUCUGAGAUUGGAGUGUGAAGAAAAUUAAAAAAUUGAUGAAAAGAAAGGUCCAAGGAAGAAAGAGGAUUUGGGUUUCGAAAAUCUAUUCCCUAGAAAAUGAGCGGUAUAGUAAAAACAUUUGGACAAUUUUCAGUGGAAAAACCUUGGAGCCAAAUUAUGCGGCCAAAGUGUAACUAUCCGAAGACAAAUAGUUGCAAAAAUAGUGGCAUGUUGUUAAGGAAAAAUAAAAUAAAAUUUACCACUUAUAUGUAA
This is a long non-coding RNA of Brassica oleracea var. oleracea, 1860 nucleotides long. RefSeq lists it as uncharacterized. The transcript has 2 exons. Lineage: Eukaryota; Viridiplantae; Streptophyta; Magnoliopsida; Brassicales; Brassicaceae. The record is from RefSeq and is a predicted model, not a curated record.